GUCGAGAAUCUUUCACAAUGGGGGCAACCCUGAUGGAGCGACGCCGCGUGGAGGAUAAGGUCUUCGGAUUGUAAACUCCUGUCAUGCGUGAACAAGGUUGCUUGGUUAAUACCUGGGCAAAUUGAUGGUAACGCAAGAGGAAGAGACGGCUAACUCUGUGCCAGCAGCCGCGGUAAUACAGAGGUCUCAAGCGUUGUUCGGAAUCACUGGGCGUAAAGGGUGCGUAGGUGGCGUGGUAAGUCAGAUGUGAAAGCCCGGGGCUCAACCUCGGAACUGCAUCCGAUACUGCCAUGCUAGAGUACUGGAGAGGUGACUAGAAUUCUCGUUGUAGCAGUGAAAUGCGUAGAUAUCGAGAGGAAUACCAAAGGCGUAGGCAGGUCACUGGACAGUUACUGACACUGAGGCACGAAGGCCAGGGGAGCGAACGGGAUUAGAAACCCGUGUAGUCC
This 449-nucleotide ribosomal RNA is filed under the name uncultured bacterium. RNAcentral's name for it is "partial 16S ribosomal RNA". It matches the Rfam family "Bacterial small subunit ribosomal RNA", at positions 354 to 796 of the family's 1533-position model. The record is from RNAcentral.